GGCGCUGUGGCUCAAGUGGUAGAGCGCUAGCCUUGAGCAUGCCUGAGGCCCUGGGUUCAAUUCCUCAGCACCA
RNAcentral lists this transfer RNA (73 nucleotides) under Dipodomys ordii (Ord's kangaroo rat). It matches the Rfam family "tRNA". Rfam says of the family: Transfer RNA (tRNA) molecules are approximately 80 nucleotides in length. The record is from Rfam by way of RNAcentral. Lineage: Eukaryota; Metazoa; Chordata; Mammalia; Rodentia; Heteromyidae.